RNAcentral lists this ribosomal RNA (666 nucleotides) under uncultured bacterium. Its description in RNAcentral is "bacterial SSU rRNA". It matches the Rfam family "Bacterial small subunit ribosomal RNA", at positions 98 to 749 of the family's 1533-position model. The record is from RNAcentral.
GCGGACGGGUGAGUAACACGUAGGCAACCUGCCCGUAAGCCGGGGAUAACUGCGGGAAACCGGAGCUAAUACCGGAUAGAGCCGCCGCACCGCAUGGUGCGGCGGGGAAAGGUGGCGCAAGCCACCACUUACGGAUGGGCCUGCGGUGCAUUAGCUGGUUGGCGGGGCAACGGCCCACCAAGGCGACGAUGCAUAGCCGACCUGAGAGGGUGAACGGCCACAUUGGGACUGAGAGACGGCCCAAACUCCUACGGGAGGCAGCAGUAGGGAAUCUUCCGCAAUGGACGCAAGUCUGACGGAGCAACGCCGCGUGAGCGAAGAAGGUUUUCGGAUCGUAAAGCUCUGUUGCCGGAGAAGAACGGGCGGGUGAGGCAAUGCACCCGUCGUGACGGUAACCGGCCAGAAAGCCACGGCUAACUACGUGCCAGCAGCCGCGGUAAUACGUAGGUGGCAAGCGUUGUCCGGAAUUAUUGGGCGUAAAGCGCGCGCAGGCGGCCCCUUAAGUCUGAUGUGAAAGACUGCGGCUUAACCGCAGAGGGGCAUUGGAAACUGAGGGGCUUGAGUGCAGAAGAGGAGAGCAGAAUUCCACGUGUAGCGGUGAAAUGCGUAGAGAUGUGGAGGAAUACCGGUGGCGAAGGCGGCUCUCUGGUCUGUGACUGACGCUGA